UACGUAGGUGGCAAGCGUUGUCCGGAUUUAUUGGGCGUAAAGCGCGCGCAGGCGGCUAUGUAAGUCUGGUGUUAAAGCCCGGGGCUCAACCCCGGUUCGCAUCGGAAACUGUGUAGCUUGAGUGCAGAAGAGGAAAGCGGUAUUCCACGUGUAGCGGUGAAAUGCGUAGAGAUGUGGAGGAACACCAGUGGCGAAGGCGGCUUUCUGGUCUGUAACUGACGCUGAGGCGCGAAAGCGUGGGGAGC
RNAcentral lists this ribosomal RNA (245 nucleotides) under uncultured Brevibacillus sp. Its description in RNAcentral is "partial 16S ribosomal RNA". It matches the Rfam family "Bacterial small subunit ribosomal RNA", at positions 524 to 769 of the family's 1533-position model. The record is from RNAcentral. Lineage: Bacteria; Bacillati; Bacillota; Bacilli; Caryophanales; Paenibacillaceae.